This 375-nucleotide small RNA is filed under the name Vibrio vulnificus. RNAcentral's name for it is "cspA thermoregulator". The record is from RNAcentral. Lineage: Bacteria; Pseudomonadati; Pseudomonadota; Gammaproteobacteria; Vibrionales; Vibrionaceae.
CUAUUCAUGAUAGAUUUAGUUCAAGUUUAAUCUCAGUUAUCUUUCGAUACCCUUCGUUUAGCCUCUGCGACAGCUUUUCCUUAAUACCCAUAAUAGCUUUUGUUAUCAGCAAUUAAUUAAUCGAAAAAUUUAAUACUUAGAGGUAUCUAUGUCUAACAAAGUAACUGGUUCAGUAAAAUGGUUUAACGAAACGAAAGGUUUCGGUUUUAUUUCUCAAGACAACGGUGGUAACGAUGUGUUUGUUCACUUCAACUCUAUCGUUUCAACAGGUUUUAAAACUUUGGCAGAAGGCCAACGCGUAACAUUUGAAGUUGAGCAAGGCAAAAAAGGCCCACAAGCUGCAAACGUAACUGCGCUAUAAUUUUAAUGGCGUGG